GACGAACGCUGGCGGCGUGCUUAACACAUGCAAGUCGAACGAAGAGCGAUGGAAGCUUGCUUCUAUCAAUCUUAGUGGCGAACGGGUGAGUAACGCGUAAUCAACCUGCCCUUCAGAGGGGGACAACAGUUGGAAACGACUGCUAAUACCGCAUACGAUCUAACCUCGGCAUCGAGGAUAGAUGAAAGGUGGCCUCUACAUGUAAGCUAUCACUGAAGGAGGGGAUUGCGUCUGAUUAGCUAGUUGGAGGGGUAACGGCCCACCAAGGCGAUGAUCAGUAGCCGGUCUGAGAGGAUGAACGGCCACAUUGGGACUGAGACACGGCCCAGACUCCUACGGGAGGCAGCAGUGGGGAAUCUUCCGCAAUGGACGAAAGUCUGACGGAGCAACGCCGCGUGAGUGAUGACGGCCUUCGGGUUGUAAAGCUCUGUUAAUCGGGACGAAAGGCCUUCUUGCGAAUAGUGAGAAAGGGAU
Molecule: ribosomal RNA, 474 nt
Filed under: Veillonella parvula
Lineage: Bacteria; Bacillati; Bacillota; Negativicutes; Veillonellales; Veillonellaceae
Description: bacterial SSU rRNA
Rfam family: Bacterial small subunit ribosomal RNA
Source: RNAcentral